CUCCACCGCCCCACUCCUAAAGUUUUGUGAGGGAGGUAAAUCGCGGAAUGUGCCCCAACAGGCUAGAGAACAAGAACUGUCUGUACACUGCGUCUACAAGGAAUCCAAUUCCAUGUCUCAGAAAUCAAACCCACACACUGCGGUUGCCAGCAAGGCGUGAGAUAACAUCACUCCUGUUCUUUGCACCACUGCACUAUGCCCCGAAGGACCUAUAUUCUCUAUUCUUAAGUCCAUUGAAGAAAUGGCAAGGCAAACCCAUUUGCUCCAAAGCUAUUUCGCUACCACAUCACUACACAAGAAGAUAAAUACUAUUACCACAGUAUAAUAAACGCAUCAUAAUAUGAUUUAAAUAAGGGAAAAUUGCAGUAGAGGCCCCAAACCUUUAUAACAUUAGCAGACUUUUCCCAAACCUUUGUUUUGUUGCAACCGUCACCUCAAACCUUUCACAACGUUGUGACAGAUGCCCUUUUGGACAGUUUUCAUUUAAAUGUCCGUUAGUUGACUAAAAAAUUUGACUUUGACCACAUUUUUAAUAACUUGAAAAGGGUAAAAUAGUAAUUUUCUAUUUACUAUAUUAAAAUAAAUUAAAAAUUAAAUUGAAAAAGAAAGAAAGAAGAAAUCAGAAUUAAAAAAUAAAUAAAAUCAAUCGUCUUCUUCAUCCUACGCCAUCCACACCCCAUUCCUUCCCCCUACCCCCAAAUCAGCCAUCGCCACCUCCACCUACGCCAACACGGUUGUAUCGAAUCCGCUCUCCUCCAAGUCCAAAUUUGCUGGACAAUCCAAAUCCAAAAUUUUAGAUCCAUCAAAAGAACUUUAAGUUGAUCUUCCUCUGGAACCUUGGAAUCUGUUUCAGAAUCCAGCAAUACUUGUAGAGUUUCAACCAUAAAGUCUAUAAAGCUUGCUGAUAGUUCAUUUUGAUUAGAAAAAUGCUGCAGCUUUGGAAUUGCAAAAAUCUCCCUAAGUUCCAAAAACUGUGGUCCAUUCCAUCGAAAGCUUAGAAUUUUUUGGUUUCCUUCAAGAAUCAAUUUUUUUAGAUGCGGAAAGAAUGUUGGGUGUCUGACUAGAUAUGUUAGAUCAAUGAAAUAGAAACCUAUUUUUCAUUUGGAUCCAACGAGCAAAGUCGAAGAAAGGAAGCAAGAGAAGUGAAUGUGUAUAUUGAAACCCC
This 1165-nucleotide long non-coding RNA is filed under the name Olea europaea subsp. europaea. The record is from RNAcentral. Lineage: Eukaryota; Viridiplantae; Streptophyta; Magnoliopsida; Lamiales; Oleaceae.